This 253-nucleotide ribosomal RNA is filed under the name uncultured bacterium. RNAcentral's name for it is "partial 16S ribosomal RNA". It matches the Rfam family "Bacterial small subunit ribosomal RNA", at positions 524 to 776 of the family's 1533-position model. The record is from RNAcentral.
UACGUAGGGUGCAAGCGUUGUCCGGAAUUAUUGGGCGUAAAGAGUGUGUAGGCGGCCCGAUUAGUCUGCUGUGAAAGUCCAGGGCUCAACCCUGGAAUGCCGGUGGAUACUGUCGGGCUAGAGUCCGGAAGGGGCGAGUGGAAUUCCUGGUGUAGCGGUGAAAUGCGCAGAUAUCAGGAGGAACACCAAUGGCGAAGGCAGCUCGCUGGGACGUGACUGACGCUGAGACGCGAAAGCGUGGGGAGCAAACAGG